GACCUGCUGAGCUUUUCCAGCAACUUCUGUUUUUGUUCCUGAUAGACAGCAUCCAUAGUUCUUUUAUUUUUCAUUUCUCAUGUUACUGAAAUUGCUCAUUCAGAGAAUAAUCUAGAGAACCUCCUCUGCAGCCUGUCCAAAGAGCUAACGUCUUCCUGAAGUAGAUAUGCAAACAGGCUAAAGGGACUUGCUGACCACCUCAUGUUCUCGUAUUCCCUUCCACAGACUGUUGGAAGGGGAUGAAAAGAUGCAGAAAUUUCUUCAGAACCAAUGCCAAGAUCCAAUUUUGGCCCCACCUCCUUUGGCAGUUUCAGGUGACAUGAUGGGUACAGUCUGAAGAAGCCUAAAGGUGUUGAGUUGGAAUUAGCUUUGGCUGGGUUAGGAUUAUCUUUGUAUGGGGAAAGGUGCAAUCAAUGCAAUUGUGAAAUGAGUGAUGGAAAUGAGAUGAAGGUGCAUCAGCAGUUUACAGUAAUGUAGUAGUAAGCACCUUCAUAGCCUGGUAAUUAACAUAUACUUCCUUGCAGGUGAGGACAAAUGCUGACAAGAGACUCCUUGAUAUACUCCUCCUGGAGAAUCUGUUGAAGAUUCUUGGGAACCAGGGGAGAAGAUUGCCUGAAAAGAUUGAGCUGGACAGGCUAUUAGACAGUUGGAUGCUCGAUGUCCUUUUCAGGCAAUAUUUGAACAUUACCCAACACCAUUGUCUAUUUACUAAGAAUGUGGCACUGAAGGAUUACCACAGAAAGGCAUUUACUGAUGUGGUGCUGGAUGUGAUCUUGACAGAGCUGAGUGAACACGUGGACAAAGACUUGGCUGAUCUCUUCCGGUACGAACGGCAAAUGGAGGAGACGGACUUAAUCACAGACAGUGGUUAUCGUGGAGUCUGAGACGGGGGCGAGCUAUCCGAGAUGGGGACAGUAGUGUGUAGGUCUACAGCUGUAAACCAUUAUGUUUUUGCAAUUUAUCUUUUGAACUUCCAGUAAACCAGAACUGAAGUCUCAUUUUGUAAAUGUUGAUUUAACCCAAAAGUGGUUGUGUUUUAAAGUCAAACUGGUUAAUUAUAGAUAUAUUUUCUAACCAUAGAUUUUGUUUUACCCUGUAUCCGAGGAUUUCAUACGUAGCUGUGGUUUUGACUGGAUAUUCUUCCCCUCUGCUUCUGAUGUUUACAUCAGGAUUCUUUUGGCAUUGCUUAAAAAGAGGAAUUGACUGUAUUGAACCUGAUGACCCUUGUCCUGCAUGGUGGAGAAUAACUAGCCUUGCAUGGGGUGGUCAAUGAACUAGAGUUUGAUUUGAUAAGCAGAGUACAUGUGAGAGACAUUAUCACGGAUUGGUCAACAACUUGGUACACGUUUUGAUAACUCUGCAAGAGAUAACACUCAUAUUUUGAUCAGACCUUCUGUUUUGAGAAAUUCAAAUGGAAGUCUUGAACAAUUUGGAUGAAGCCACAAAUUUGGCACACUAUUUCACUGCUACAGCCAAGUUGGGGGGGAGGUGGUGACUGCCCAGAGUAUCCAGCCCCAUGUACCGUUUUGUGGAGACUUGGUCUUAUGUGCCAACUCCAUGUCUUAUCAUUUUAGAGAUUUGACUUAGACAUAUUAACUUAGAGUUCUUUUUACCAUUUUGGAUCCUGUUUAGACCAGGUCGGGGUUCAUAGAUUCAUACAGCGCAAACAAGACCCUUCAAUCCACCGAGUCUACACUGACAUAAUGACCACUAAAAGUGUGCUAAUCCCAAUUUCCUGCAUUUGUCCCAUACCCUUGAAUGAUAUGAUGUUUCAAAGACUAAUCCAAAUAUUUUUCAGAAGUUUAUAGGGUAUCCAGCCUCUUCUACCUUCCCAGGCAGUGCAUUCCAAAUUCCCACCACCUGCUGAGUGAAAAAGUUGUUUUUUUCCCCCUAAAACCCUCUGAAUCUCCUGAUCCUUACCCCAAAACUAUGCCCUCUUGUGAUUGACCCCUCAACCAAGGGGAACAGCUGCUCUCUAUUCACCCUGCUCAUACCUCUAAUAAUCUUGUAUCAGUCAUGUCCCCCCUCAGUCUUCUCUGCUCUAAAGAAAACAAUCCAAGUCUAUCUAGGCUUUCCUUUAUAGCUGAAUUUCUCCAUCACAGGCAACAUCCUGAUGAACCUCCUCUGUACCCUCUCCAGUGCCAGCACGUCCUUCCUAUAAUAUACAUUUUGGUAGGAGUAAUAGUAAAAAGGAUUAUUACUUGAAUGGUAAAAAGUUGCAGCAUGCUGCUAUGCAGAGGGACCUGGGUGUCCAUGUGCAUGAAUCACAGAAUGUAGGUCUGCAGGUACAACAAGUAAUUAGGAAGGCAAAUGGAAUUUUGUCCUUCAUUGCUAAAGGGAUUGAGAUUAAAAGCAGAGAGGUUAUGUUGCAGCUGUACAAGGUGCUGGUGAGGCCACACCUGGAGUACUGUGUGCAGUUUUGAUCUCCUUACUUGAGAAAGGAUGUACUGGCACUGGAGGGGGUGCAAAGGAGGUUCACUAGGUUGAUUCCGGAGUUGAGGGGGUUGGCUUAUGAGGAGAGCCUGAGUAGAUUGGGAUUAUGUUCAUUGGAAUUCAGAAAAUUGAGGGGGGAUCUUAUAGAAACAUAUAAAAUAAUGAAGGGAGUAGAUAAGAUAGAAGUAGAGAGGAUGUUUCCACUGGCAGGUGAAGCUAGGACAAGAGGGCAUAGCCUCAAGAUUAAAGGGAGCAGAUUUAGGACUGAGUUGAGAAGGAACUUCUUCACCCAGAGUGUUGUUAAUCUAUGGAAUUCCUUGCCCAGUGAAGUAGUUGACGCUACUUCAGUAAACGUUUUUAAAGAUAAGGUAGAUAUUUUUUUGAACAAUAAAGGAAUUAAGGGAUACGGUGAGAACGCGGGUAAGUGGAUCUGAGUCCACGAAAAGAUUAGCCAUGAUCUUAUUGAAUGGCGGAGCAGGCUCAAAGGGCCAGAUGGCCUACUCCUGCUCCUAGUUCUUAUGUUCUUAUAAUGAGGUUUCCUUGUAAUAUUUGUGCUGUGAAGAAGUUGCAUUUCUUCCUUUAUACAAAGUGUUCUGUUUCCUUUAAAUUUUCUAACUUUUGUAAUUUAGCAUUUAUCAUUUUGUUCUUGUUAUAACAUCAUAUCCAAUAAAAUGGUUGUCUUAACACA
Rhincodon typus (whale shark) is the source of this 3121-nucleotide long non-coding RNA. RefSeq lists it as uncharacterized. NCBI's taxonomy places the organism in Eukaryota, Metazoa, Chordata, Chondrichthyes, Orectolobiformes, Rhincodontidae. The transcript has 3 exons. The record is from RefSeq and is a predicted model, not a curated record.